UUUUUAUUUGACGUUAACAAUCACGUGUCGCAUUUUUAUUAGAAGUUGACGUUAAUUAAGUGUACAAAAUUAACAUUCAAUAAAAGUACGACACGUGACAAUCAACGUCU
Glycine soja is the source of this 110-nucleotide non-coding RNA. Lineage: Eukaryota; Viridiplantae; Streptophyta; Magnoliopsida; Fabales; Fabaceae. The record is from Rfam.